Molecule: long non-coding RNA, 309 nt
Filed under: Homo sapiens (human)
Lineage: Eukaryota; Metazoa; Chordata; Mammalia; Primates; Hominidae
Description: non-protein coding lnc-MED13-3:3
Source: RNAcentral
GAAACUAACAGACUUUGGACUACGCAAAGAAUCUAUUCAUGAUGGAACAGUCACACACACAUUUUGUGGAACAAUAGAAUACAUGGCCCCUGAAAUCUUGAUGAGAAGUGGCCACAAUCGUGCUGUGGAUUGAUGGAGUUUGGGAGCAUUAAUGUAUGACAUGCUGACUGGAGCACCCCCAUUUACUGGGGAGAAUAGAAAGAAAACAAUUGACAACAUCCUCAAAUGUAAACUCAAUUUGCCUCCCUACCUCACACAAGAAGCCAGAGAUCUGCUUAAAAAGCUGCUGAAAAGAAAUGCUGCUUCUCU